GAAAUGCGAUAAGUAAUGUGAAUUGCAGAAUUCAGUGAAUCAUCGAAUCUUUGAACGCACAUUGCGCUCGCCAGUAUUCUGGCGAGCAUGCCUGUUCGAGCGUCAUUUCAACCAUCAAGCUCUGCUUGCGUUGGGGAUCCGCGGCUGCCCGCGGUCCCUCAAAAACAGUGGCGGGCUCGCUAGUCACACCGAGCGUAGUAACUCUACAUCGCUAUGGUCGUGCGGCGGGUUCUUGCCGUAAAACCCCCAAUUUCUAAGGUUGACCUCGGAUCAGGUAGGAAUACCCGCUGAACUUAAGA
This 299-nucleotide unclassified non-coding RNA is filed under the name plant metagenome. RNAcentral describes it as "partial contains 5.8S ribosomal RNA, internal transcribed spacer 2, and large subunit ribosomal RNA". The stretch from base 1 to 105 matches the Rfam family "5.8S ribosomal RNA", at positions 50 to 154 of the family's 154-position model. The record is from RNAcentral.